RNAcentral lists this ribosomal RNA (292 nucleotides) under uncultured bacterium. RNAcentral's name for it is "partial 16S ribosomal RNA". The record is from RNAcentral. RNAcentral also lists the same sequence under 1 other name.
GGACUACUGGGGUAUCUAAUCCUGUUUGCUCCCCUAGCUUUCGUGCCUCAGUGUCAGGAGUUGUCCAGGGACUCGCCUUCGCCACUGGUGUUCCACUUGAUAUCUACGCAUUUCACUGCUACACCAAGUAUUCCAGUCCCCCCUCCAACCCUCGAGCAAGGUAGUUUCCAAUGCCAUUUCGGAGUUGAGCUCCGAGCUUUCACAUCCGACUUACCUCACCACCUACGCACCCUUUACGCCCAGUGAAUCCGAACAACGCUUGGGACCUCUGUAUUACCGCGGCUGCUGGCAC